RNAcentral lists this ribosomal RNA (425 nucleotides) under uncultured bacterium. RNAcentral's name for it is "bacterial SSU rRNA". It matches the Rfam family "Bacterial small subunit ribosomal RNA", at positions 356 to 773 of the family's 1533-position model. The record is from RNAcentral.
GGGGAAUUUUGGACAAUGGGCGCAAGCCUGAUCCAGCAAUGCCGCGUGAGUGAAGAAGGCCUUCGGGUUGUAAAGCUCUUUUAGUUGAAAAGAAAGAAUCGCGAUUAAUAAUCGCGAUUUAUGACGGUAUCAACAGAAAAAGCACCGGCUAACUACGUGCCAGCAGCCGCGGUAAUACGUAGGGUGCAAGCGUUAAUCGGAAUUACUGGGCGUAAAGGGUGCGCAGGCGGUUCUGUAAGUCAGAUGUGAAAUCCCCGGGCUUAACCUGGGAAUUGCGUUUGAAACUGCAGAUCUAGAGUGCGGCAGAGGGAGGUGGAAUUCCAUGUGUAGCAGUGAAAUGCGUAGAGAUAUGGAAGAACAUCGAUGGCGAAGGCAACCUCCUGGGCUAGCACUGACGCUCAUGCACGAAAGCGUGGGGAGCAAAC